This 253-nucleotide ribosomal RNA is filed under the name uncultured bacterium. RNAcentral describes it as "partial 16S ribosomal RNA". It matches the Rfam family "Bacterial small subunit ribosomal RNA", at positions 524 to 776 of the family's 1533-position model. The record is from RNAcentral.
UACGUAGGGUGCAAGCGUUGUCCGGAAUUAUUGGGCGUAAAGAGCGUGUAGGCGGCCCGAUUAGUCCGCUGUGAAAGUCCAGGGCUCAACCCUGGAAUGCCGGUGGAUACUGUCGGGCUAGAGUCCGGAAGGGGCGAGUGGAAUUCCUGGUGUAGCGGUGAAAUGCGGAGAUAUCGAGAGGAACACCAGUGGCGAAGGCGAGUCUCUGGACGACUCCUGACACUGAGGCACGAAAGCUAGGGGAGCAAACAGG